UCUCCCUUGUGUUUGUCUUUGCCUGGCUUCCAUUGGGCUCUUACGUAAUGUGGUGGUGAGAACCUGCUGGCUGAACAAACAGCUCACCAUCACAGAGGAUUAGGAGCUGUCAGACACGACCCACAUACGGUGACACUACCCUGCAGUGUCCUGCAAAACAGUGCAAAUUGUGAGACUGUGAGUCGACUUGGGUCACGGGAUUAUCAAUUGGAAGGCGUCACAGUUCUGAGCACUUCCCGCAGUGAGAUAAGUGCCGCCUUCGAGUACUGCUGCUCCUGUUACGCCUGCAGGAAGACACUUCUCAUGAGUUUCAACUCCCACUUCAAAAGCCAACAAUGAGUUUUGUCACCGGGCCAUGGUCACUCUGCUCCAGCAUCAGGGGGCUCUUGCUCCCUUGCACGGUGUGGGCGGAGUUUGGAUUCCUGGCUUCCCAGUCUGGCACACCUGGCGCUGAUCAGCUCACUCACCUGCCUGCCAUCAGCUAAUCACCUCCACUCCACAAAAGCCCUGGUCUCCUCACACAACGCUGCCAGAUCGUUUCACAACUCUCCAUGUGUGACUACCUCCUCUAAGCCUGCCUGCCUGCAAGACACCUCCACUCCAGCUGACGACGCCUUUCCCUCAUCCCUCAUUUGCCUAAAUUAAUCUGCCUGCCUUGUC
Molecule: long non-coding RNA, 660 nt
Organism: Entelurus aequoreus (snake pipefish)
Lineage: Eukaryota; Metazoa; Chordata; Actinopteri; Syngnathiformes; Syngnathidae
Exons: 5
Source: RefSeq, a predicted model, not a curated record